Molecule: ribosomal RNA, 770 nt
Filed under: uncultured Neocallimastigales
Lineage: Eukaryota; Fungi; Neocallimastigomycota; Neocallimastigomycetes; Neocallimastigales
Description: partial large subunit ribosomal RNA
Rfam family: Eukaryotic large subunit ribosomal RNA
Source: RNAcentral
GUAGUCUCGCACAGAUGCAUAUCAAUAAGCGGAGGAAAAGAAACUAACAAGGAUUCCCUCAGUAACGGCGAGUGAAGCGGGAAGAGCUCAAAUUUGAAAUCUUGAAAGGUCACCUUUCACGAAUUGUAGUUUAAAGAAGUGUUUUCUGUUACGAUCGUAAUAUAAGUUCUUUGGAAUAGGACAUCACAGAGGGUGAGAAUCCCGUCUAUGAUUGCGAUUUGUAGCUUUGUGAUACACUUUCAAAGAGUCGGGUUGUUUGGGAAUGCAGCCCAAAACGGGAGGUAAAUUUCUUCUAAGGCUAAAUAUAGGCGAGAGACCGAUAGCGAACAAGUACCGUGAGGGAAAGAUGAAAAGAACUUUGAAAAGAGAGUUAAAUAGUACGUGAAAUUGUCAAAAGGGAAGCGUUUAACACCAGUGUUGUUUUCUGAAAAUCAACCUCUGUUAGCUUUAUGCAUGUUUGUUUAGACCUAAUCAGCUAUCUUGCAUGUUCUAUUGUUUGCAGUGGUGCACUUUUCAGUUUACAGGUCAACAUCAGUUUUUUUUACCGUAAAAAAGUUAAAGAAAGGUAGCUCAUGGCUCCGGUCGUGAGUGUUAUAGUCUUUUUCCUAUGCGGUAGGAGAGACUGAGGUCUGCAGUGUAGGCUAUUUGGCUAGAUACUCAGGUGCUAUGUGAUACCAUUUCAUAAACAACUGGUUGAUUAUGUUUUGUCUAUUGCAUACUCGCUUGUACUAUCAUACCUACGCUUAGGAUGUUGAGUCGUAGAGCACGCA